UACAUACUCCCUCCGUCCGGAAAUACUUGUCAUAGAAAUGAAUGUAUCUAGAUGUAUUUUAGUAUUAGGUACAUCCAUUUUUAUACAUUUGUGUGACAAGUAAUUCCGGACGGAGGGAGUAUUUA
Non-coding RNA from Hordeum vulgare subsp. vulgare (domesticated barley), 125 nucleotides. Lineage: Eukaryota; Viridiplantae; Streptophyta; Magnoliopsida; Poales; Poaceae. The record is from Rfam.